Cyprinus carpio (common carp) is the source of this 818-nucleotide long non-coding RNA. RefSeq lists it as uncharacterized. NCBI's taxonomy places the organism in Eukaryota, Metazoa, Chordata, Actinopteri, Cypriniformes, Cyprinidae. The record is from RefSeq and is a predicted model, not a curated record.
UUUUAAGGUGUAAUACUCAAAUAAAAGAUAGCACACUACUCUUGCAUUCACACUGACAUCCUCCUAGAGAAUCGAACGGACGCAGAGAGCAAUCAUCCAAACGUGAAAGUAUGGCUUCCAAAACUCAAAUCCUACUACUACUAGUAGCUGUAAUAAUAACAAAUAUCAGCACGUCAGGCACUACAGAUGCACCAAGCACCACGGGCAUGCCAGACAACAUGAGCACAUCAGGCAUCCCGGGCACACCAGGCAACACAAGUGCAUCAGGUAUCACGGGCACAUCAGGCACCACAGAUAUGUCAAGCAUCACCACCACAUCAACCACCACCGGCAAAUCGAGCACCAGCACAACCACCACCACCACCGGAAAAUCAAGCAGCAUCACAAUAACCACUGCUUCUGUUGCAGCAUCUCUUUUACCAAUGGGACUACCUGGACUUCUGUUCUACACUACUAUGGUUCUCAAAAUCUUUAAGCUGAUCUGAUUAUCAUCUCACUUAGUUUGUAACUAAAACCUACAGGGACAGGGCCCUGCGCAAGUUGCUAACACUUUAAUGUCAGACUGUCAGAUUAAUUAUACUUAUGUUCGGAUAAAUACCUGAUUGCUUUAAAAAUCUAGAAAAUAUGAAGACUUCAAAUGAAGAAUAAAGAUGAAAUGCCUUUGUUGACUUUGCCAAAAUUGCUAAACCACAUUACACAUGUAUGACAGUUAAAGAUGAGUGUUUGCACAUAUUUAUCAAAAAGUGUAUUUAUUUGUCAUUUAUAUUAAAUAUGACAUACUACAAACUUGCACAUCAAUAAUAAACCAAUAUUCUGCA